AACGCAUCUUGCACCCUCGGGCAUUCCCGAGGGUAUGUCUGUCUGAGUGUCAUUUGAACUCUCAAAGCCCCCCGCCUCAAUCAACGGGGCGGGGCCGCUUUGGAUCCUGGGUGCUCGCGGCAUCGCUCGCCUCAAAUGGAAUUUGGCAGUCUCCUCUGAAGCCAUCGUCAGGUUUGACCUGGAGUGAUAGAAGUCUUUCGAGAUCUCUGGGGAUUCGUCCUAGCGACGUGCCUGGCUUGGUGGGAGGGGCUGCCUGAUCAAAUUCUUUUGACGUUUUCGACCUCAGAUCAGGCAGGACUACCCGCUGAACUUAA
This 314-nucleotide unclassified non-coding RNA is filed under the name uncultured fungus. RNAcentral describes it as "sequence contains ITS2". The stretch from base 1 to 52 matches the Rfam family "5.8S ribosomal RNA", at positions 103 to 154 of the family's 154-position model. The record is from RNAcentral. Lineage: Eukaryota; Fungi.